CUUCUUACUUAAAUUUAUUAACCUCUUCGGUAGAUUAUUGACCGCGAUCAUAGGGACAAUAAUGUGGCAAAAAGCCGGUAUUUCGUGUUUGGUUGGCAUUGGAACAUUGUUGAUCAUUGUCCUCCCAGGACAAGAGAUUUUGAGCUUCUUGAAUCUCAAACUCAGAACCAUGAUUGCGCCACUGACGGACCGAAGAGUACAACUAAUGAGCGAACUCAUAGCUGGGAUACAGGUAUCCCCAAAAAGUUGGUGGUGAAGAUGUACGCCAGGGAGAAAUCGUCCAGAUUGUGUCAGUAAUUAGAAAAUUAGAGAUCAAUCAAAUUAAAUUCUCGUCGUACGUGCGCGUCGCAUAUUUAGCCAUCAUAGCCUUCACGGAACGAUUGACCGUCUAUUUCACUCUGAUAAUGUUUUUCUUAAUGGAAAAUAAUUUGACUGUCGAUGUGACCUAUGAAAUGUCGACAUACUUUAAUAUACUUCAACUCGUCGUCGCGUUGUACUUUCCGCAAGGGCUAAUACUGCUGGGUGAAUCAAUAGUCAUUCAAUCGAUUGGAGGAUUUUUUGCUGAUGGACGGAGUGAACACGAGACGCUUCUCGGAGAACACGCCGCAGUUGCAGUUUAAAUCUCAGAAACCAAAGAAAGAAACUAAUGCAGAGAAUCAAAUUGGCCUGUUACAUCUCGAGAAAUGGGAGUAUCGUUCUGUCCGAACAUCAAAGAUUAUCUGAUCUUCCGGUGUACAUAAAGCUUCAGCGAGUUUCAUCCAAUUGGAUCAGUGGCCAAUUGCCGCCGACUUUGUGCAAUAUUAAUUUAACUAUCAAGCCAGGUAAAUUAUGUAUUGUAGUUGGUGCAGUGGGCUCUGGCAAAUCGUCUGUAUUACAUCUACUAUUGAAGGAAUUAAAUCCCGCCACGGGUUUCAUAACUUACUCAGGGCUCCUCGAAGUAUAAUUUUCCGGACAAUUUAUCCACUGGAUACUUCACGAACAAUCCAAAUCUGCGUAUCUCCUAUGCCAGUCAAGAAUCUUGGCUUUUCAGUGGUACCGUAAGGGACAAUAUACUGUUUAGCCAGUCCUAUGAUAAUGCUAGAUACAUGCAGGGAGACAUAACAAUGAUCGGCGAUAGAGGUGUACCUUUGUCCGGUGGUCAAAGAGCGCGAAUCAAUCUCGCAAGGGCAAUUUAUAGACAAGCGGAUGUCUAUUUGCUCGACGAUCCCUUGAGCGCGGUUGAUACUCGUGUUGCUAGGCAUCUCGAUGGGAAGUGCAUCACCGAAUAUCUCCACGGUAAGACGAGGAUACUUGUCACACAUCAAUUGCAAUUCCUUAAAAGGGCGGAUCACAUUAUCGUACUGGAUCGAGAUUUCGUGAAAAUGCUAGGAAAUUAAAACUAAUUAGUACAGUCAAAUAAAAAUUUCAUUGGGAUGUUGGACAAUUUGAACCAAGCGCAGAGAAAGGAAGAGGACAUGAGAAGAGCUUCGGAAAUGUCUAAGUGAAUCACAAUAACGAGAAAAUAUCAAGAUUAUCGACUACAAAUUCUAUCGCUGUAAGAUAAUUACUCGUUAUUUAUAAUAAAAAAAAUAUAGUUUACAUUUGAUUUGUGUUGGGAAUAAAAGAAUAUUAGAACAAGAAUGUAAGAAGUGUUAUUCGAUCAAUGCGGACUUGACGACUCAUCGUGCACACACGCGGAUAAUUAGUGACGAAGGACCUGCCGGUAGGGCAUGAAUACGCGCCUAGCGGCGAACAAAAUAAUAAACAUAAACAUAACUCGUCGAUAAUCAAUCGGCCGUGA
Molecule: long non-coding RNA, 1780 nt
Organism: Trachymyrmex septentrionalis
Lineage: Eukaryota; Metazoa; Arthropoda; Insecta; Hymenoptera; Formicidae
Exons: 6
Source: RefSeq, a predicted model, not a curated record